UACGGAGGGUGCAAGCAUUGAUCGGAAUUACUGGGCGUAAAGGGCGCGUAGGCGGUUAUAAAAGUCGGAUGUGAAAUUCCGGGGCUCACCCCCGGAGCUGCAUUUGAAACUUUAUGACUAGAGUUCAGUUAGGGUAAACGGAAUUCCACGUGUAGCGGUGAAAUGCGUAGAUAUGUGGAAGAACACCGGUGGUGAAGACGGUUUACUGGGCUGAUACUGACGCUGAGGCGCGAAAGCAUGGGGAGCAAACAGG
This 253-nucleotide ribosomal RNA is filed under the name uncultured bacterium. RNAcentral describes it as "partial 16S ribosomal RNA". It matches the Rfam family "Bacterial small subunit ribosomal RNA", at positions 524 to 776 of the family's 1533-position model. The record is from RNAcentral.